RNAcentral lists this ribosomal RNA (636 nucleotides) under uncultured bacterium. RNAcentral's name for it is "bacterial SSU rRNA". It matches the Rfam family "Bacterial small subunit ribosomal RNA", at positions 818 to 1454 of the family's 1533-position model. The record is from RNAcentral.
GCCCGUUGGGACUCUUGAAGUCUUAGUGGCGCAGCUAACGCACUAAGUUGACCGCCUGGGGAGUACGGCCGCAAGGUUAAAACUCAAAUGAAUUGACGGGGGCCCGCACAAGCGGUGGAGCAUGUGGUUUAAUUUGACGCAACGCGAAGAACCUUACCUGGCCUUGACAUGCAGAGAACUUUCCAGAGAUGGAUUGGUGCCUUCGGGAACUCUGACACAGGUGCUGCAUGGCCGUCGUCAGCUCGUGUCGUGAGAUGUUGGGUUAAGUCCCGUAACGAGCGCAACCCCUAUCCCUAGUUGCUAGCAGUUCGGCUGAGAACUCUAGGGAGACUGCCGGUGACAAACCGGAGGAAGGUGGGGAUGACGUCAGGUCAUCAUGGCCCUUACGGCCAGGGCUACACACGUGCUACAAUGGUGCGUACAGAGGGCUGCAAACCCGCGAGGGGGAGCUAAUCUCACAAAACGCAUCGUAGUCCGGAUCGGAGUCUGCAACUCGACUCCGUGAAGUCGGAAUCGCUAGUAAUCGCGAAUCAGAAUGUCGCGGUGAAUACGUUCCCGGGCCUUGUACACACCGCCCGUCACACCAUGGGAGUGGAUUGCACCAGAAGUGGUUAGUCUAACCUUCGGGAGGACGAU